Long non-coding RNA from Ostrea edulis (European flat oyster), 768 nucleotides. RefSeq lists it as uncharacterized. The transcript has 2 exons. Lineage: Eukaryota; Metazoa; Mollusca; Bivalvia; Ostreida; Ostreidae. The record is from RefSeq and is a predicted model, not a curated record.
AGCCGUGUUUCGAGUUACUCCGGAACACAGUGUUUAUUCUGUGUUUAGUCACGCCGCGUCAAAAAUGUUCCACAGGGUUACUUCCGGUUUAUCGUUGUUUACCAACAGUCGACACUUCGUGUAUUAGGCCUAGGCUUAAUUUUGUCGAUCAUCAUGAAAUUGAAAUACAAAUUUAAUAGUUUGGGGUGUAUGCGGUACAUAUUUGUUUAUGAGCGUUUGAUAAGCUACUAUUGAUCUACGAAAUACAACGAAAGACUUCGUCAAGAACAGAAGACGAUGCAUGUCGUGUAACUCACACAAGGCCCAGCUGUCUAGUAACCGGAGGGGUAAAGGAAAAGAACGUAUUAGACUCACUGAAACCUGUCAAACAGGUAUAUGGGAACAGGAUCAUUUUCCAUGCCUUUCACUUGAGGUCUUCAGUUUCAUCAUUAAUCAUCUGAAUGUCGGUAUGCCAAACUCUCAUGAUGUCAUGCCAUUACUGGAUAUUCCUUAACACUGGUUUAUUUAAGCCACACUACCUAUAACAUUGCCAAAAUAUUAGACUGAAAAUUUUCAAAUACACAAGAUUUGAAGCAGCAAAAGAAAAGAAUUACAUAUGUAUAACACACAAAAAAGAAGAAAUUAAUUCUCACCUGGCUGAUAUGAACUUUUUACUCCUUUUUAGCUCCCUUUCACUGCAUACCAGCCAAUAACUAGCAGUCAUUAUAUGCAGAUCAGCCAUUGUUAUCAACCUGUGUAUAUAUAUGUUGAAUGAAAUAUGAAUGAAAA